Molecule: ribosomal RNA, 1372 nt
Filed under: uncultured bacterium
Lineage: Bacteria
Description: bacterial SSU rRNA
Rfam family: Bacterial small subunit ribosomal RNA
Source: RNAcentral
GAUGAACGCUGGCGGCGUGCCUAAUACAUGCAAGUCGAGCGAACGGACGAGAAGCUUGCUUUUCUGAUGUUAGCGGCGGACGGGUGAGUAACACGUGGAUAACCUACCUAUAAGACUGGGAUAACUUCGGGAAACCGGAGCUAAUACCGGAUAAUAUUUUGAACCGCAUGGUUCAAAGGUGAAAGACGGUCUUGCUGUCACUUAUAGAUGGAUCCGCGCUGCAUUAGCUAGUUGGUAAGGUAACGGCUUACCAAGGCAACGAUGCAUAGCCGACCUGAGAGGGUGAUCGGCCACACUGGAACUGAGACACGGUCCAGACUCCUACGGGAGGCAGCAGUAGGGAAUCUUCCGCAAUGGGCGAAAGCCUGACGGAGCAACGCCGCGUGAGUGAUGAAGGUCUUCGGAUCGUAAAACUCUGUUAUUAGGGAAGAACAUAUGUGUAAGUAACUGUGCACAUCUUGACGGUACCUAAUCAGAAAGCCACGGCUAACUACGUGCCAGCAGCCGCGGUAAUACGUAGGUGGCAAGCGUUAUCCGGAAUUAUUGGGCGUAAAGCGCGCGUAGGCGGUUUUUUAAGUCUGAUGUGAAAGCCCACGGCUCAACCGUGGAGGGUCAUUGGAAACUGGAAAACUUGAGUGCAGAAGAGGAAAGUGGAAUUCCAUGUGUAGCGGUGAAAUGCGCAGAGAUGUGGAGGAACACCAGUGGCGAAGGCGACUUUCUGGUCUGUAACUGACGCUGAUGUGCGAAAGCGUGGGGAUCAAACAGGAUUAGAUACCCUGGUAGUCCACGCCGUAAACGAUGAGUGCUAAGUGUUAGGGGGUUUCCGCCCCUUAGUGCUGCAGCUAACGCAUUAAGCACUCCGCCUGGGGAGUACGACCGCAAGGUUGAAACUCAAAGGAAUUGACGGGGGCCCGCACAAGCGGUGGAGCAUGUGGUUUAAUUCGAAGCAACGCGAAGAACCUUACCAAAUCUUGACAUCCUUUGACAACUCUAGAGAUAGAGCCUUCCCCUUCGGGGGACAAAGUGACAGGUGGUGCAUGGUUGUCGUCAGCUCGUGUCGUGAGAUGUUGGGUUAAGUCCCGCAACGAGCGCAACCCUUAAGCUUAGUUGCCAUCAUUAAGUUGGGCACUCUAAGUUGACUGCCGGUGACAAACCGGAGGAAGGUGGGGAUGACGUCAAAUCAUCAUGCCCCUUAUGAUUUGGGCUACACACGUGCUACAAUGGACAAUACAAAGGGCAGCGAAACCGCGAGGUCAAGCAAAUCCCAUAAAGUUGUUCUCAGUUCGGAUUGUAGUCUGCAACUCGACUACAUGAAGCUGGAAUCGCUAGUAAUCGUAGAUCAGCAUGCUACGGUGAAUACGUUCCCGGGUCU